UAACGGCCGUAUGACUGGCGGAAGUGGACAAACCACGUGGAGUACGGCCCGGUUUGGACGGACGUUUUGCCCCGUCGUGAACAGAAAAGCCGACCGCCUGGGCGUAGUGU
This 110-nucleotide non-coding RNA is filed under the name Ethanoligenens harbinense. RNAcentral's name for it is "ZTP sequence". It matches the Rfam family "ZMP/ZTP riboswitch aptamer (pfl RNA motif)". From Rfam's summary of the family: Previously known as pfl RNA. RNAcentral also lists the same sequence under 1 other name. The record is from RNAcentral. Lineage: Bacteria; Bacillati; Bacillota; Clostridia; Eubacteriales; Oscillospiraceae.